AGAGUUUGAUUAUGGCUCAGGACGAACGCUGGCGGCGUGCUUAACACAUGCAAGUCGAACGGGGAUUAGUUGAUAGAGAGCUUCGGCAGGAAAUUGAUUAAUUCGAGUGGCGGACGGGUGAGUAACGCGUGAGCAACCUGUCCCAGACAGGGGGAUAACACUUGGAAACAGGUGCUAAUACCGCAUAAGACCACGGGAUCACAUGGUUCUGGGGUAAAAGGAGCAAUCCGGUUUGGGGUGGGCUCGCGUCCGAUUAGCCAGUUGGCGGGGUAACGGCCCACCAAAGCGACGAUCGGUAGCCGACCUGAGAGGGUGAACGGCCACAUUGGAACUGAGAGACGGUCCAAACUCCUACGGGAGGCAGCAGUGGGGAAUAUUGGGCAAUGGGCGAAAGCCUGAACCCCAGCAACGCCGCGUGAGUGAAGAAGGCCUUCGGGUUGUAAAGCUCUGUUAUAGUUGACGAAGGAAGUGACGGUAGGCUAUAAGGAAGCCCCGGCUAACUACGUGCCAGCAGCCGC
RNAcentral lists this ribosomal RNA (518 nucleotides) under uncultured bacterium. RNAcentral's name for it is "bacterial SSU rRNA". It matches the Rfam family "Bacterial small subunit ribosomal RNA", at positions 8 to 518 of the family's 1533-position model. The record is from RNAcentral.